GGGCCCGCACAAGCGGUGGAGCAUGUGGUUUAAUUCGAUGCAACGCGAAGAACCUUACCAGGACUUGACAUACUACAAAUUCUUUUGAGAAAAAGAAGUGCCUUCGGGAAUGUAGAUACAGGUGGUGCAUGGCUGUCGUCAGCUCGUGUCGUGAGAUGUUGGGUUAAGUCCCGCAACGAGCGCAACCCUUAUUUUUAGUUACCAAUUCGUUGGGUUCUCUAGAAAGACUGCCGGUGACAAACCGGAGGAAGGUGAGGAUGACGUCAAGUCAGCAUGCCCCUUAUGUCCUGGGCUACACACGUGCUACAAUGGUUAAGACAAAGAGUCGCGAGCUCGUGAGAGUCAGCUAAUCUCAUAAACUUAGCCCAAGUUCAGAUUGUAGGCUGCAACUCGCCUACAUG
This 401-nucleotide ribosomal RNA is filed under the name uncultured bacterium. RNAcentral describes it as "bacterial SSU rRNA". It matches the Rfam family "Bacterial small subunit ribosomal RNA", at positions 917 to 1322 of the family's 1533-position model. The record is from RNAcentral.